Molecule: ribosomal RNA, 972 nt
Filed under: Candidatus Phytoplasma prunorum
Lineage: Bacteria; Bacillati; Mycoplasmatota; Mollicutes; Acholeplasmatales; Acholeplasmataceae
Description: bacterial SSU rRNA
Rfam family: Bacterial small subunit ribosomal RNA
Source: RNAcentral
ACCUGCCUCUCAGACGAGGAUAACAGUUGGAAACGACUGCUAAGACUGGAUAUGAAGUUUUGAGGCAUCUCGAAACUUUUAAAAGACCCGCAAGGGUAUGCUGAGAGAUGGGCUUGCGGCACAUUAGUUAGUUGGUAAGGUAAUGGCUUACCAAGACUAUGAUGUGUAGCUGGACUGAGAGGUUGAACGGCCACAUUGGGACUGAGAUACGGCCCAAACUCCUACGGGAGGCAGCAGUAAGGAAUUUUCGGCAAUGGAGGAAACUCUGACCGAGCAACGCCGCGUGAACGAUGAAGUAUUUAGGUACGUAAAGUUCUUUUAUUAAAGAAGAAAAAAUGAUGGAAAAAUCAUUCUGACGGUAUUUAAUGAAUAAGCCCCGGCUAACUAUGUGCCAGCAGCUGCGGUAAUACAUGGGGGGCAAGCGUUAUCCGGAUUUAUUGGGCGUAAAGGGUGCGUAGGCGGUUAAAUAAGUCUAUGGUAUAAGUUCAACGCUUAACGUUGUGAUGCUAUAGAAACUGUUUGACUAGAGUUGGAUAGAGGCAAGUGGAAUUCCAUGUGUAGCGGUAAAAUGCGUAAAUAUAUGGAGGAACACCAGUAGCGAAGGCGGCUUGCUGGGUCUUAACUGACGCUGAGGCACGAAAGCGUGGGGAGCAAACAGGAUUAGAUACCCUGGUAGUCCACGCCGUAAACGAUGAGUACUAAGUGUUGGGUUAAACCAGUGCUGAAGUUAACACAUUAAGUACUCCGCCUGAGUAGUACGUACGCAAGUAUGAAACUUAAAGGAAUUGACGGGACUCCGCACAAGCGGUGGAUCAUGUUGUUUAAUUCGAAGAUACACGAAAAACCUUACCAGGUCUUGACAUACUCUGCAAAGCUAUAGAAAUAUAGUGGAGGUUAUCAGGGAUACAGGUGGUGCAUGGUUGUCGUCAGCUCGUGUCGUGAGAUGUUGGGUUAAGUCCCGCAACGAGCGCA